Molecule: ribosomal RNA, 460 nt
Filed under: uncultured bacterium
Lineage: Bacteria
Description: partial 16S ribosomal RNA
Rfam family: Bacterial small subunit ribosomal RNA
Source: RNAcentral
CCUACGGGAGGCAGCAGUGAGGAAUAUUGGUCAAUGGGCGCGAGCCUGAACCAGCCAAGUCGCGUGAAGGAUGACUGCUCUACGGGUUGUAAACUUCUUUUAUAAAGGAAUAAAGUGAGGCACGUGUGCCUUUAUGCAUGUACUUUUAGAUUAAGGAUCGGCUAACUCCGUGCCAGCAGCCGCGGUAAUACGGAGGAUCCGAGCGUUAUCCGGAUUUAUUGGGUUUAAAGGGAGCGUAGAUGGGUUGUUAAGUCAGAUGUGAAAGUUUGCGGCUCAACCGUAAAAUUGCAAUUGAUACUGGCAGUCUUGAGUACAGGAGAGGUAGGCGGAAUUCGUGGUGUAGCGGUGAAAUGCGUAGAUAUCACGAAGAACACCGAUUGCGAAGGCAGCUUACUAAACUGCCACUGACGUUGAUGCUCGAAAGUGUGGGUAUCGAACAGGAUUAGAUACCCUAGUAGUC